GACGAACACUGGCGGCGUGCUUAACACAUGCAAGUCGAGCGGAAAGGCCCUGCUUUUGUGGGGUGCUCGAGUGGCGAACGGGUGAGUAACACGUGAGUAACCUGCCCUUGACUUUGGGAUAACUUCAGGAAACUGGGGCUAAUACCGGAUAGGAGCUCCUGCUGCAUGGUGGGGGUUGGAAAGUUUCGGCGGUUGGGGAUGGACUCGCGGCUUAUCAGCUUGUUGGUGGGGUAGUGGCUUACCAAGGCUUUGACGGGUAGCCGGCCUGAGAGGGUGACCGGCCACAUUGGGACUGAGAUACGGCCCAGACUCCUACGGGAGGCAGCAGUGGGGAAUAUUGCACAAUGGGCGGAAGCCUGAUGCAGCAACGCCGCGUGCGGGAUGACGGCCUUCGGGUUGUAAACCGCUUUCGCCUGUGACGAAGCGUGAGUGACGGUAAUGGGUAAAGAAGCACCGGCUAACUACGUG
Molecule: ribosomal RNA, 468 nt
Filed under: uncultured bacterium
Lineage: Bacteria
Description: partial 16S ribosomal RNA
Rfam family: Bacterial small subunit ribosomal RNA
Source: RNAcentral